CAGUCUGCACGCAGCCGGGCCCUCUCAACCUUCAGUUUCUGGUGACAAAGAGCUGGAGGCUGACCCCACGGGGAGUGCCCCUUGCACGAGGCCUCUUCCCGCGGAGGCUGCCCUGGUCUUCCUCCAGCCUGCAGACAGCCUGAGACGGGUCCCCGGGGCCUGGGUGAACAGCUCGCGCUGACGUGGCUUCGGGCGCGGGUACUGAGCCAGCAAGGACACGGUGAGACAGCUGGGUCACACUUGGAUCUGGCGCA
RNAcentral lists this long non-coding RNA (254 nucleotides) under Mustela putorius furo (domestic ferret). RNAcentral describes it as "lncRNA (ENSMPUG00000028330.1)". The record is from RNAcentral. Lineage: Eukaryota; Metazoa; Chordata; Mammalia; Carnivora; Mustelidae.